RNAcentral lists this ribosomal RNA (482 nucleotides) under uncultured bacterium. RNAcentral describes it as "partial 16S ribosomal RNA". It matches the Rfam family "Bacterial small subunit ribosomal RNA", at positions 30 to 507 of the family's 1533-position model. The record is from RNAcentral.
AUUGAACGCUGGCGGCAUGCCUUACACAUGCAAGUCGAACGGUAACAGGUCUUCGGAUGCUGACGAGUGGCGAACGGGUGAGUAAUACAUCGGAACGUGCCCGAUCGUGGGGGAUAACGAGGCGAAAGCUUUGCUAAUACCGCAUACGAUCUACGGAUGAAAGCGGGGGAUCUUCGGACCUCGCGCGGACGGAGCGGCCGAUGGCAGAUUAGGUAGUUGGUGGGAUAAAAGCUUACCAAGCCGACGAUCUGUUGCUGGUCUGAGAGGAUGAUCAGCCACACUGGGACUGAGACACGGCCCAGACUCCUACGGGAGGCAGCAGUGGGGAAUUUUGGACAAUGGGCGAAAGCCUGAUCCAGCCAUGCCGCGUGCAGGAUGAAGGCCUUCGGGUUGUAAACUGCUUUUGUACGGAACGAAAAGCCUCUUUCUAAUAAAGAGGGGUCAUGACGGUACCGUAAGAAUAAGCACCGGCUAACUACGUG